ACUCGAGUGGCGAACGGGUGAGUAACACGUGGGUGAUCUGCCCUGUACUUUGGGAUAAGCCUGGGAAACUGGGUCUAAUACCGAAUAUGACCACUUCUUGGAUGGGGUGGUGGAAAGCUUUUGCGGUAUGGGAUGAGCUCGCGGCCUAUCAGCUUGUUGGUGGGGUAAUGGCCUACCAAGGCGUCGACGGGUAGCCGGCCUGAGAGGGUGUACGGCCACAUUGGGACUGAGAUACGGCCCAGACUCCUACGGGAGGCAGCAGUGGGGAAUAUUGCACAAUGGGCGCAAGCCUGAUGCAGCGACGCCGCGUGGGGGAUGACGGCCUUCGGGUUGUAAACUCCUUUCGCAACCGACGAAGCUUUUGUGACGGUAGGUUGAGAAGAAGCACCGGCUAACUACGUGCCAGCAGCCGCGGUAAUACGUAGGGUGCGAGCGUUGUCCGGAAUUACUGGGCGUAAAGAGCUCGUAGGUGGUUUGUCGCGUCGUUUGUGGAAUACCGCAGCUUAACUGCGGGGUUGCAGGCGAUACGGGCAUAACUUGAGUGCUGUAGGGGAGACUGGAAUUCCUGGUGUAGCGGUGGAAUGCGCAGAUAUCAGGAGGA
Molecule: ribosomal RNA, 601 nt
Filed under: uncultured Actinomycetes bacterium
Lineage: Bacteria; Bacillati; Actinomycetota; Actinomycetes
Description: bacterial SSU rRNA
Rfam family: Bacterial small subunit ribosomal RNA
Source: RNAcentral